Molecule: long non-coding RNA, 438 nt
Filed under: Equus caballus (horse)
Lineage: Eukaryota; Metazoa; Chordata; Mammalia; Perissodactyla; Equidae
Description: lncRNA (ENSECAG00000045679.1)
Source: RNAcentral
CUGGCUAGGUAGUUCUUCUGCUUCAUGUUGUGAUGACCAGGGUACUAGGAUGUAUGGAACAUCCAGAAUGGCCUCAUUCACAUGGCUGUUCUACUCUGCUUUCCUCGUGGAUGUCAUUCUGAGGCUCCCCAUGGUGGCAAGACGGUCUCAGCAGUAUCACUUUCAUGACCACUCAUUUGUAAAUCCUUUAAGAAAAGAGUGUGAGUCUCUCAGAAGUCUCAGCCAAAGACUCGCUGCAUCUAGUUGGCACUGUUUGGAUCACAAGGCCGUCACUGUGGGCAGGGAAAUCCUAUGAUUAGACUGAGGCCAUAUGCUCAACUCCCCAGCCCCAUCCUGAAUACAUGCGCUGAGAGUGCAAGAAUGUGGUGCCCCAGAGGAUGUCAGACUCUACUACCAGAAGAAUAAUUCCGGAGGGGAAAAUAAAAACACGCUCUCACG